AUGUCUUGCGCGGCGGCGGAGGCCGGGCUGGUGGCCAUGGACUGCGUGGUGGUGUGCUGCUGCUGCCCGUGCCUGGUGCUGCAGAUCACCGUGUUCCUCUUCGUCCGGCUGCCCCGGAAGGUGGUGGUCAAGUCCAAGAGGGUCUUUCUGCGGCGAUGGCACAGGAGGAGGAGGAGGAGAUCGGCAUCCGCCGCCGCGAAGAGGCUCUCCAGAAGCGGCAGCACGGCCUCGUCCUCCGGCAUGAGGCGGCUCGAGGAGCUGCUGGACGGCGAUUUCAGAGCCACCUUCAGGGAUAUCAACGGAGGGGAGUGCAGCGGCAGCGACGGCGACGUCCGCGGUAGCUGGAAGGAGAAAUGCUUCGCCAUGGACGACUACGAUGGCGGUGUCGGCUGGAAGCAGAGGUGCUUCGCCGUCGACAGCUGCGACGACGACGGCGUGUGGGAGGCGCUGGUGGGGCAGGAGGGGCUCUUCUGGUUCGGGAGCUUCUGGGGCCGGACGGAGCAGGGCGACCCCGUGUCUUCCGAGGAUCAGAUGUACGCAAGCUUGAGCCUGCCGGUAGUUCUAGAGAGAGUGCGGGAUUAG
This 582-nucleotide ribosomal RNA is filed under the name Triticum aestivum (bread wheat). RNAcentral describes it as "partial small subunit ribosomal RNA". The record is from RNAcentral. Lineage: Eukaryota; Viridiplantae; Streptophyta; Magnoliopsida; Poales; Poaceae.